UGCUACUUUGCCGGCGAGCGGCGGACGGGUGAGUAAUGUCUGGGAAACUGCCUGAUGGAGGGGGAUAACUACUGGAAACGGUAGCUAAUACCGCAUGACCUCGAAAGAGCAAAGUGGGGGAUCUUCGGACCUCACGCCAUCGGAUGUGCCCAGAUGGGAUUAGCUAGUAGGUGAGGUAAUGGCUCACCUAGGCGACGAUCCCUAGCUGGUCUGAGAGGAUGACCAGCCACACUGGAACUGAGACACGGUCCAGACUCCUACGGGAGGCAGCAGUGGGGAAUAUUGCACAAUGGGCGCAAGCCUGAUGCAGCCAUGCCGCGUGUGUGAAGAAGGCCUUAGGGUUGUAAAGCACUUUCAGCGAGGAGGAAGGCAUCACACUUAAUACGUGUGGUGAUUGACGUUACUCGCAGAAGAAGCACCGGCUAACUCCGUGCCAGCAGCCGCGGUAAUACGGAGGGUGCAAGCGUUAAUCGGAAUUACUGGGCGUAAAGCGCACGCAGGCGGUUUGUUAAGUCAGAUGUGAAAUCCCCGCGCUUAACGUGGGAACUGCAUUUGAAACUGGCAAGCUAGAGUCUUGUAGA
RNAcentral lists this ribosomal RNA (581 nucleotides) under uncultured bacterium. RNAcentral's name for it is "bacterial SSU rRNA". It matches the Rfam family "Bacterial small subunit ribosomal RNA", at positions 78 to 655 of the family's 1533-position model. The record is from RNAcentral.